Molecule: long non-coding RNA, 842 nt
Filed under: Triticum aestivum (bread wheat)
Lineage: Eukaryota; Viridiplantae; Streptophyta; Magnoliopsida; Poales; Poaceae
Description: long non-coding RNA (TAES_LNC009481)
Source: RNAcentral
GCGGGGUAAAAUUACAUCAAGUCCUUGGCACCUGCCAACACCCAUAAUCUGGCUUCAUCCAAGAUCUUGUCCACAAUUAUCAUCGAAGGCGUAGAGACAUUUCGAAAGAUCCUAGUAUUCCUCUCCUUCCAAAGUUCCCAAGAGUUACAUCAGGUGCUUGAAGGGCGGCCCUUUACAAAGCAACAUCCUGUUAAAGGAUUCAAGUAAGUGGAAAUAAAGGAACUUCAUUCAUAAAUAGCAAACAUUUUUUUGGAUAUUAGUAAAAUACCUCCACUUCCCUGCGUGUGAAUGAUACCAAAUGUAUUGGCAUGUUCAGUUCUGCUGCUUUUUGCGAAAAAAGAGCAGAAGAAUCCAGCCUCAGUUCCAACGACAAGAAAACACCUGUGAAAAAAAUAUUCUUGCAGUCACAACUCAAGUCUUCUUCUUGCAAUUACGACUGAGAUCAUAAAUUAAGGAUUAUAAAUUUGGUUGGUGUACUGAAAUGUCGAUGUGUACUAACCCUGAUCCGCAAGUGACAUGUCCGCAGAUGCAGAUGCAUAUAGCAAUCCUUGCAUUGCUGAAAGGAUUCAGAAUUUAUUUUUUUAAGUUAAAGGAUUCACAACUUAUUAUGCACACAUUGUUACAGUGCCCGGCAGCCCUGUCAGAAUUUAGAAGCGAUGAGAAAGUAAGCAUAGAGGGAUACAGAAGCUUAUAGCACUGGAAUGGUCAGAAACUUGCCAACAUUGCAAAAUGAAGAAGUCGGUUGUAUCUCGCACCUGCUUCCAGGUGCGAGAAGAAGCAGGAGAUAUGGUGAAAAUCCCACUAUUUCACACUCCAGGCGCUUCAAAUCCCACAAUUCCGUU